ACUCCAGACUCCUACGGGAGGCAGCAGUGAGGAAUAUUGGUCAAUGGGCUUACGCCUGAACCAGCCAAGUCGCGUGAGGGAAGACUGCCCUAUGGGUUGUAAACCUCUUUUGUCAGGGAGCAAUUGGCGCUACGUGUAGCGUUAUCGAGAGUACCUGAAGAAAAAGCAUCGGCUAACUCCGUGCCAGCAGCCGCGGUAAUACGGAGGAUGCGAGCGCUAUCCGGAUUUAUUGGGUUUAAAGGGUGCGUAGGCGGAAUGCCAAGUCAGCGGUAAAAUCGCGGGGCUCAACCUCGCUCCGCCGUUGAAACUGGCGUUCUUGAGUGGGCGAGAAGUAUGCGGAAUGCGUGGUGUAGCGGUGAAAUGCAUAGAUAUCACGCAGAACUCCGAUUGCGAAGGCAGCAUGCCGGCGCCCAACUGACGCUGAAGCACGAAAGCGUGGGUAUCGAACAGGAUUAGAUCCCCGUGUAGA
This 469-nucleotide ribosomal RNA is filed under the name uncultured bacterium. RNAcentral describes it as "bacterial SSU rRNA". It matches the Rfam family "Bacterial small subunit ribosomal RNA", at positions 328 to 794 of the family's 1533-position model. The record is from RNAcentral.